This is a non-coding RNA of Sinocyclocheilus anshuiensis, 407 nucleotides long. The record is from the annotation of a RefSeq genome assembly. Lineage: Eukaryota; Metazoa; Chordata; Actinopteri; Cypriniformes; Cyprinidae.
UUCACUUCACUGAAUCAAAGAUGUCCAACAACCUGCUUUACCUUCUGUUUUUACUGGCCUUUGCAAGAGUGAAAGGUCAGAAUUUGGAGUCCAUUUCUUCUGUAGCAGAGGUAAAGCCUGGAGAAGCUCUGAGUCUUUCCUGUAGAGGAUCAGGAUUUACUUUCGGAAGCUACGACAUGCACUGGGUCAGACAGCAACCUGGAAAAGCACUGGUGUGGAUGGGCCGUGUUUGGAGUAAUGGACAAGGACAAGACUAUGCUAAAAGUUUUGAGGGACGAAUAGAAAUUACUAGAGACAAUUCAAAAACCAUGGUGUAUCUGAAACUGUCUGGACUCACAGAAGAGGACUCAGCUGUGUAUUACUGUGCAAGGCAAGCACAGUGACACAAACCUGUGUGCAAAUGAUAC